Molecule: long non-coding RNA, 6840 nt
Filed under: Medicago truncatula (barrel medic)
Lineage: Eukaryota; Viridiplantae; Streptophyta; Magnoliopsida; Fabales; Fabaceae
Description: long non-coding RNA (MTRU_LNC004323)
Source: RNAcentral
UUCUUGUGUUGUGCAGGUCUCUAUUUAUAGCACUGGGUUGGGACUAGGGUUUGUUGAGAAUGAGCAGAAAAUCAGUAGCUUGUGGAGGAGAAAAGGGACUUGUUUCUGUUCCGGUUUUUUGCAGGUAAGGCUGGGAAUUGGAUUGGGAUGGAGAAAGAAAGAAAACGCGUACUGGAUUUGCUUCAGAGGAAGCGUGAACUGGAUUUUGACUGGAACAGCAUACGCGUGAUGCUGUUGUUCUGAACCUGGACACUUUUGGAUUUUUGGACUUUUUGGGACUUAAAAAAAAAAGAAAAAUUAAUUAAAAGGAUAAUAUCUACAUUUUUGGUUUUAAAUAAAAAGAAAAAUUUAAAAUGGGAAUAAAAGAAAUUUAGUCUAACUUGGACUAAAAUUAAAAUUAGAGUUCUAAAUUAAAAGAUGGAAAUAAAUAAUUAAAGACUGAGAGAAGAGGGCCCGAUUCGGAACUUUAUGAGGUAUUUCAAAAUACCUCCCUGCCGAAUUUUUCACUGAAAUGUGAGUCUGGUCCGAGUUCGGAGACGUGUGUCAGUGGGACCUUAGGUCAAAAAUUGGGGUAUGACAGAUGCCCCUAUUUAAGUUUCUUCGUUCAGAGAUUUGAAGAUGGAAUCUUUGAUUCGAUGAGCCGAAGAGACUUAAAUACAAAAGUGCACCAAUUUUGACCUAAGAUACUAUGAAUGUUCAUGAUGUAAUUAUGAAUGCAUGAUGACAACGGUGACCUGGCUGGGAUAAAAACACUGGGAUACCCAAAUUCUUUGAAGAAAGGGAUCCGACUCUGCUAGGGGAAUACAGUUUCAAUGGGGAAAAGGGUUGUCUACUAUCUGGAAAAUAGCUGUAUGAAGGCAAAAUGACAUAGAUUAGACAUAAUGAGGAUGACACUUGCGAGAGAAUGAAGAGUAAACUCAAGCGUCCGUUUGUGGACUGGUGACUUGAAGCAAAAUAAAAGGUAAACUCAAGUGUCCGUUUGUGGACUGGUGACUUGAAACAAUAUAAAAAGUAAACUCAAGUGUCCGUUGGUGGACUGGUGACUUGAUAAAGGUGAAUAUAGGUUGUUCGUUCGUUGGAACUGGUCAUUCGUUAUAAAGAAGGGAAAAAAAUAAACACAAGUUGUUCGUUCGUUGGAACUGGUUACUUGAAAUAAAAACAUAAGCUGUUUGUUGGUUGGAACUGGUUACUUGAAAUAAAGAUAAAAGAUAGACACAAGCUGUUCGUUGGUUGGAUUUGGUCGCUUGAAAUGAAAACAUAAGCUAUUCGUUGGUUGGAACUGGUUACUCGUUAUAAGGUAAAGAGAUAGAUACAAGCUGUUCGUUGGUUGGACUUGGUCGCUUGAAACAUAAGCUGUUCGUUGGUUGGAACUGGUUACUUGUUAUAAGGUAAAGAGAUAGAUACAAGUUGUUCGUUGGUUGGAACUUGGUCGCUUGAAAUAAAACACAAGCUGUUCGUUGGUUGGACUUGGUCGCUUGAAAUGUUUGAUUGGUGACAUCUCUGGAACAGCUACACUGGGGAUGACGUUUCGGAAUUUGAAAUUGAUUAGUGGCAUAACUAGCACGGCUAUUUCCGGGGAUGACACUUUUGAAUUUGAAAUUGAAAUUGACAUUGAUUAGUGACAUAACUAGCACGACUUUUUCGCCGGGGAUGACACUUUUGAAUUUGAAAUUGAAAUUGACAUUGAUUAGUGACAUAACUAGCACGGCUUUACGCCGGGGAUGACACUUUUGAAAUUGAAGUUGAAAUGGAAGACGCUCAUUUGUAGAAACUUGCGGCUUGACACAAUGGUAAGCUUUGACUGAUGCAAUUAUGUGUGAAUUGAUGUUAUGCAUAUGUCGUGUACGCAUAAACGUAUGAUUAUGUGAAAAUAUUGGUGAAUGCAUGAUUGUAUGAAUGUAUGGAUAUAUGAAUGUACAUGACACGUGAAUCGAUGAACCGAGACAAGACAGGUAAGAUGGGAGUCGGACCGACAUUGCAUUACAAACACUCGGCAACCUUCCUUGGAGAUGAUAUUAUUGUGAGCAAAUCGAGCCGUUGAUGGUGUAAGAACCUGGCACUAGGUAGCCACCGAUGCCUCCUGGGGGGUGAGCCCAUUGUUGAUGAAAGAAGUCUGGAAGAAGUCGCCAUUUGUAAACCGGCACAGAGUGUCCUUCCAUUGGUAUGCUUCAGCAGUCAUGCCUUUUGUUUUAUUGAAAAAUCCCUAACUUUUGCCUGGAUUGCCCUUUCGGGUUUUCAGUCCACCGGGAAUAUAUUCUUUUUUCUGCCCCUAAUUUUUGCCUGGACCGCCCUUUCGGGUUUUCAGUCCACCGGGACGCUCUCUGUUGCCUAAGUCGCCUUUUCAGGUUUUCAACUUAGCGAGCUUCUUUGUAUUAUUUUUUGUAUUUUUUGACUGUGACAGCAUUUUGUUCAAAGUAUAGGACCUCUCCAUAGUACUUAGUCAUGUUUCUCUUCCGGAGUGUAACCGUUCUCGAGGCGGAUGCUGAUGUAUACUUCACCUACUCACGAGUUCAAAGAGAAUGUGUUUGUUGUUCACACUUUUCAAGAGAUGUAAAAAAAAGUUUUGUAUUUUGAAAUUUUUUGCUUUAAGAAGAAAUUAUGCAAAUAGAAUAAAUGAGAGUUCCAAAUAAAUGGGCACAGGCUCAAGUUUGAUGAAUUGAGUGGUGACCUGCCAAGGGCAUGGCUCCACGGAUUUUUUUGAAAAUUUUGGAAAAAUGGUAAAUGUAAUGGGGAGGGUACAUUGAACACAGUAACCAUUAUUCUCCCUAACAACUUUGAAUGCCCCUGUUCCGAGUCUUUGAUCUGCAGAUGCUUCGAGUCGGAGGUCUUUUGAUAGCUGGAUGCCCCAAGUGGAUUGUGCUUGACCGGAUGCAGUUACUUUGUCUUUUUGAUCCUUAACUUUUGCAUAGAUCGCCCUAUCGGGUUUUCAAUCUAUCAGGAUAAUCAUUUUUGUUCAUGUCUCUAACUUUUGCCCGGACCGCCCUUUUGGGUUUUCAGUCCACCGAGACGCUCAUUUUUGCCUAAGCCGUACUUUAAGGUUUGCGACUUAUCGAGUUUUAUUAUUUUUUGAUAAAGUAUUUCUUGACCGCACCGGCAUUCAUAGGAAGUGCGAGUUCGUCAUCCAUAGUUGGAGAAGUUAUUGCACACGAUCCUUCAUAGUUAGGCGUCCACUUGCCCCUGGAGUCUGAUUUGGAAAUAUAGUAUCCUUUUGAGCACAAAGUCUCAUUCUUGAAUUUCACGGGGACGAACCUUCUUGUUGGAAGUUUGUUUUCAAACUUUUUUGACAUGAUUGUACAAGGUCGUCAUGCAUUUUAAGUUUGUUCAAGCUUGGACUUUGACAUAACUCCUAUUGUUGGGACUUUGAUCGUGCGGGAAGCAUCACCUCCCUGUUGUAUACUUGAGGGAAAGAGGGGGGGUGCCCCUGUUGAAAUGUGUACUGAAGCACGAUAUCCGAGCAAAGCGAAUGGCAGCACCUCGAACUAGUCUUUGUAAGUGAGUGCCAUCUUCUGGAUUAUCUUCAUGAUUUUUGUUUGGUAGCUUUGAUGGCUAGAUGCCCCAGUAGGCGAGAGAUCUUGUCAUGAGUCUCUUCAUCCAUGUCUCUUUCAGCUUCGGAUACAAGGAACUCAAAGUUGGAAGAGAGUACCUGGUAAAUGUGUUCAACGGGUUUAUUAAUGCAUGAUUUAUUGUUGAUUUUGACAAGUAAACAAAAGUUAUGAUUAUGCAGAUAUUUGUGAAUGAUUAAUUAUUUUUUGGGUUUUUUGUAUUACCAUUUUUCCAAGAAAAAGCACAAAAUGAAAAUAAAGUCGGGAUCAAAACGACCUUUUUAUUAAUGAUGACAAAUCUUAAAGCAAAAAGCCCUACACUAGUUCACUUUCAUCCUGGGCGGGAUGAAAGGAUGUUUUUUUGAAAAGGUAAUAAACGAACAAACACAUCACUGGAAACAAAUUGAAUAGCAGAAGACAAAACGUCGACCCAAUUGCAGCUACACACUCGGAUUCAAUUUCUUGAAAUGCAACACAUUGUCGUCGAUCAGCUUCUGGACUUCAAUUUCCUAGGAGAAACAGUGCUCAACGUCAUGACCUUGUGCCCCUUGAUGGAAGGUGCAAGAGAGAUCCUGUCUCCACCUAGUCGGCAAUUUCUUGGGUAUUGUUGACCAAUCGUCCUUCUCGGACUCCUUCUUCCAAUUGUACACCCAUACCAACCAUCUCAGCAAAGUUCUUGGGCGUGCUUCCGACCAUCUUCUUGUAGUAGAACUGAUUGAGAGUUUUUAAGAAGAGCUUGGUCAUUUCUUUCUCUUCUACAUGCGGGCUGACUUGGGCAGCGGUAUCCCUCCAUCGCUGGGCAUACUCCUUGAACGUUUCCUUGCUCUCUUGAGUCAUAGCCUGAAGAUCACUUCGGUCCGGCGCCAUAUCCAUGUUAUAACUGUAUUGCUCCACAAAAGCUUCACAUAGAUCACGAAAAGUUUGGAUUCUCGUUUUCUCUAGAUUCGUGUACCAUUUUGAGGCGGGACCAGCCAGACUUUCUUGAAAGUAGCAAAUGAGGACCUGAUCGUCUCGAGCAUAUGCAUACAUCCUUCUUACAUACAUUUUCAAAUGUUCCUCGGGGCAGGAGUUCCCUUUAUACUUCUCAAAAUCUGGGAUCUUGAACUUGUGAGGUAUCUGGACAUUCGGCACCAAACAGAGAUCAUAAGCGGUCUUUCCAAAUUUUUCUUUCCCACGGAGAGCCCUCAUUUCUCGAUGCAUUUCAUCAUAUUUUUCCCGUAAGUCAUUCAUUCUAUCAUCGGACUCCAUGUUCCCUGAAUGGAAGAUGGGUUCUUCAUUUUGUGGAAUGGUAUGCAUCAUAGGUGUUGAAUAAGUCAUGACAACUGGAGGAGCUCUUACGGGAAGCGGAGGAACAUGAGCUGCAUAUUGAUGAGUAGUGUCGCGUCAUUUUUCGGAGAUCAAGGCUAUUUGAUUAGCUUUUGACUCACUAAUUUAUUUCACGACUGAACAUUUAUUUUUUAAGGAAAAAGGGAAAAAAGUUCAAAACAUCCCAUAUUGAAAAGAUUUAGGGUUCGGGGGUUAGUUACAUAAAGGGAAGGUAUUAGCACCCUUUAUGUUCGUAGUACUCUACGAGAACCUCUUGGUUUUAUUUAAUUCAAUGUGCUAUAACUUGCUUGCUUAUUUUGAAAAGAAGGAAUUAAUAUGAUGAAAAAAAGAAAAUAAAGUGAGACCUAAUUUAUCUACAUUUUUUAUUGUUUGAAAGGACAUGGUCCUCUGCCUACGUACCCGUGAGGGAUCAAAACCUCGUAGUUCCGGGUAAAAAUUGACAUUUGAUUGGUUGUGUGUUUUUUAUUAGUUUUGAAACAGGUUUUAAAAAUAAAAGCCAAGUGGCAAAUAAGAAUUUGUUUGUGUUUUUUAUUAAAAGAGAGAUGACUCGAAGUUGAUUUAAAGUUGAUUGCAAUUUUGAUUAAGAAAAUAAAAUAAAAAGGACGAUCACUUGAUUUAGGAUCAAGGUUUAUUUUAAAAAAGUAUUUUUAUGAUUUUUUUUGGUUAUUUGCAUGUUUUUGUUGUUUUUUUGAAUAAUUGCUAAACUAACGGAGCAAGAAAAUAAAACGUAAUAACCUAAGCAGAAAAGUAGAGCAUGCACCCACACACGCACACAUGCACCUAAACUAUUACAAAAAAACCUAUUUACAUUCUAAGGUCUGCAAAAAAAAUAAAUGACAAGAAAAAGUAAAUAAAUUAUUUACAUCAAGGCCUAAUUUACAUUCUAACAUGCAUGAGAGAACAUAAAUUAAUAAUUACAAUGCUAAACGAUAAAUAAAAUGUAUGCAAGACUUGAAAGAAAUAAAUAAAAGGUUCAAUCACAAGGUGGGAGGUGUAGCAGUAUUAUGGGGUGUGCAGAAAGUAAAGAAAACAGGUUUGGGCCUAGAUAGAAACGGAGCGGGUCAUGGGUUAAGCCUAGCGGGUCGACCCGGAUUUGAGAGGUAUAUAAAGGAUGUGAACCCUAAUUUCCUCAUUUUUCUUUUCCUUUUCUCUCUCUUCUUCCUUAAAUCUCUCAAACUCUCUCUAUUCUUUCUUCCUUCUCCGGCGGAAAGGUGAGGGGCCGGUGGGAUUCCGGCGCGGUGGCCGGCGAGCCAUCGCGGCUGCGCCGCCGCGCCGGAGCUAAAAAGCUCUCCUUUUUUGAUUUUUUUUUUGGUUUUAAGACCGGCUUGCUCUCCUAACUUCGUUUCUUCACUCACAAAACUCAAAUACUACACCUAAAUUUCUAGAUCUACAAAAAAAAGGUGCGAAAAUUACCCCCUUUGUGUGUGCGUCGCUUCUGUAUGCUUGCUGUUUGGCUUUGCUGCGAUGUUGUUACCGCCUGUGUGUGCGGUUGCGGUUCUGCUUCUUAUGCGCGUCUCUCUGGCUUCUGUUGUGUGUUGUGUUGCGAUGCCGUCCUCUGUUUUUCGUGUUUUUCUUUGUGUUUCUUUCUGGCUUUUUGUGCGCGCUGCUGUGCUCUCUUCUCUUUCUUGUGUUGUGCAGGUCUCUAUUUAUAGCACUGGGUUGGGACUAGGGUUUGUUGAGAAUGAGCAGAAAAUCAGUAGCUUGUGGAGGAGAAAAGGGACUUGUUUCUGUUCCGGUUUUUUGCAGAUAAGGCUGGGAAUUGGAUUGGGAUGGAGAAAGAAAGAAAACGCGUACUGGAUUUGCUUCAGAGGAAGCGUGAACUGGAUUUUGACUGGAACAGCAUACGCGUGAUGCUGUUGUUCUGAACCUGGACACUUUUGGAUUUUUGGACUUUUUGGGACUUAAAAAAAAAAGAAAAAUUAAUUAAAAGGAUAAUAUCUACAUUUUUGGUUUUAAAUAAAAAGAAAAAUUU